Molecule: transfer RNA, 67 nt
Filed under: Marmota monax (woodchuck)
Lineage: Eukaryota; Metazoa; Chordata; Mammalia; Rodentia; Sciuridae
Description: tRNA.Ala
Source: RNAcentral
GGUUGUGGCUCAAUGGCAGAGCACUUUCUUAGCAUGUGUGAGGCACUGGGUUCGAAUCUCAGCACCA